UUGAUCUAAAACAAAAUCUCAUAUCUUAACCAAAAAACAAGAUAAGCCACAUAUACAACCACUAUAUCAAUCACUAAUAACUAACUUUGAAGUCCCCUGCUCCGAAUUUUAUUUUUUGAUCUAAUGUACAAUAGUUUUUAAAAACGAAGCGAGCAACAGAGGUUUAAUUCCAUCAAUAUAAUUCAGCCAACCUUCCAAAUUUCAUGAGCCAAGAUGGACUGACUAGUUAAUCACCAACCGGUAUUCACUCAAAUCAAAUAAAACAAACCUAGAACAAUGAAUCAUUGAAGGUAGACAAUCAAAAUAUGAUAUACAAAUCAGAAGGAAACAUGGUGAAAGAGCAGCAAUGUAAACAACGGUUAAGAAAAUGAUGAACCUUUUAUAGAUGAAGAUCUUCUAUUGCUGAAAUUUUUCAAUGUUUACAACGAAGAGGAGCUUCAAAUUAGCAUACGAAAUCAAUCGUGACCAGGACCUAUACCACGAACCUUCACCGAUGAAUUUCAACCACAACCUCGACUCGAACGGACCUCUCAAGUAUAGUAUAAUCUGGUUUGAGCCAAAAGAAGAUGGAAACGGAAUUUCUCCCCAGAUCUCCUCUCUUUGUUCUCUCGUGCUAUUUCCCUAUCGUAUGUGGGGGGUGGGGGGUGGGUGGGUUGAAGAUCUCAAAAUGAGGGGGACGACUGCUGCCUUGGAACUAGGCUGGUGGACUUUCGUUCUUGAUGAAGGGAGAUGCGGUCAGCUUUCUUUAUCUUAGGAUCUUUGGAUUUUACCUUGAAGAGAUUUUUAAUUUUUUUUUGAAGAUCUGAAGGGGGAGGGGUGAGUCUUGGAGAUUGUUUUUUCAGAGGUGUGUGCGGCCGUUCUAAC
Molecule: long non-coding RNA, 864 nt
Filed under: Nicotiana tabacum (common tobacco)
Lineage: Eukaryota; Viridiplantae; Streptophyta; Magnoliopsida; Solanales; Solanaceae
Description: long non-coding RNA (NTAB_LNC004944)
Source: RNAcentral